UGAUACCCCACUAUGCUCAGCCCUAAACUUUAAUGGCACUAUACACAGCCAUUCGCCAGGGGACUACGAGCAUUAGCUUGAAACCCAAAGGACUUGGCGGUGCUUUAGAUCCACCUAGAGGAGCCUGUUCUGGAACCGAUAACCCCCGUUCAACCUCACCCUCCCUUGUUUAUUCCGCCUAUAUACCGCCGUCGUCAGCUUACCCUGUGAAGGUAACAUAGUAAGCAAAACCAGUACAACUCAAAACGUCAGGUCGAGGUGUAGCAUAUGAGAGGGGAAAAAAUGGGCUACAUUCUCUGACCUAGAGAAUACGGAUAAUGAGAUGAAAAAUCAUUUGAAGGAGGAUUUAGUAGUAAGCAAGAAGCAGAGUGUUUUGCUGAAACCGGCCCUGAAGCGCGCACACACCGCCC
Molecule: ribosomal RNA, 410 nt
Filed under: Atherina presbyter (sand smelt)
Lineage: Eukaryota; Metazoa; Chordata; Actinopteri; Atheriniformes; Atherinidae
Description: partial 12S ribosomal RNA
Rfam family: Bacterial small subunit ribosomal RNA
Source: RNAcentral